GGUGCUUUGCCCGAGUGGCCUAAGGGGACGGUCUGCAAAACCGUUUUUCUCCGGUUCGAAUCCGGAAGGCACCU
This 74-nucleotide transfer RNA is filed under the name Candidatus Physcosoma equi. RNAcentral describes it as "tRNA-Cys". It matches the Rfam family "tRNA". Rfam says of the family: Transfer RNA (tRNA) molecules are approximately 80 nucleotides in length. Their secondary structure includes four short double-helical elements and three loops (D, anti-codon, and T loops). The record is from RNAcentral. Lineage: Bacteria; Pseudomonadati; Spirochaetota; Spirochaetia; Spirochaetales; Sphaerochaetaceae.